GAGUUUGAUCCUGGCUCAGGACGAACGCUGGCGGCGUGCUUAACACAUGCAAGUCGAGCGGUGACCCUCCUUCGGGGGGUGAUCAGCGGCGAACGGGUGAGUAACACGUGGGCAACCUGCCCCUCACACUGGGAUAACCUCGGGAAACCGGGGCUAAUACCGGAUACGACCUCGAGCGGCAUCUCUUGAGGUGGAAAGCUCCGACGGGUGAGGGAUGGGCCCGCGGCCUAUCAGCUUGUUGGUGGGGUAAUGGCCUACCAAGGCGACGACGGGUAGCCGGCCUGAGAGGGCUACCGGCCACACUGGGACUGAGACACGGCCCAGACUCCUACGGGAGGCAGCAGUGGGGAAUAUUGCGCAAUGGGCGAAAGCCUGACGCAGCGACGCCGCGUGAGGGAUGAAGGCCUCGGGUUGUAACCGUCUUUCUAGCAGGACGAAGCGAAGUGACGGUACCUGCAGAAGAAGCACCGGCUAACUACGUGCC
This 484-nucleotide ribosomal RNA is filed under the name uncultured bacterium. Its description in RNAcentral is "bacterial SSU rRNA". It matches the Rfam family "Bacterial small subunit ribosomal RNA", at positions 9 to 509 of the family's 1533-position model. The record is from RNAcentral.